Molecule: ribosomal RNA, 512 nt
Filed under: uncultured bacterium
Lineage: Bacteria
Description: bacterial SSU rRNA
Rfam family: Bacterial small subunit ribosomal RNA
Source: RNAcentral
GACGAACGCUGGCGGCGUGCUUAAUACAUGCAAGUCGAGCGAGGCCUUGGAAUUGGAGUCCUUCGGGAUGAAGAGUCCUUGGCCUAGCGGCGGACGGGUGAGUAACGCGUGGGCAACCUACCCCAAAGUCCGGGAUAACAGUGGGAAACCGCUGCUAAUACCGGAUGGCUUUACCUGAGGGCAUCCUUGGGUAAAGAAAGGUUACGCUUUGGGAUGGGCCCGCGUCCCAUUAGCUAGUUGGUGAGGUAACGGCUCACUAAGGCGACGAUGGGUAGCCGGCCUGAGAGGGUGAACGGCCACACUGGGACUGAGACACGGCCCAGACUCCUACGGGAGGCAGCAGUAGGGAAUAUUGCGCAAUGGGCGGAAGCCUGACGCGGCGACGCCGCGUGAGCGAAGAAGGCCUUCGGGUCGUAAAGCUCUGUCCUUGGGGAAGAAGGCGAAAGCUUGACGGUACCCAAGAAGAAAGCCCCGGCUAACUACGUGCCAGCAGCCGCGGUAAAAGUGUGUUA